Molecule: non-coding RNA, 45 nt
Organism: Gossypium hirsutum (cotton)
Lineage: Eukaryota; Viridiplantae; Streptophyta; Magnoliopsida; Malvales; Malvaceae
Source: Rfam
UUAGCGGUGCUUUUAAGCACCACUAAAACUAUUUGCGGCGUUUUU